AAUAAAGUGCCUGAAAAAGGAUUAUUCUGAUAGAAUAAAUAAUGCAAAGUUUGCCUUUAUUG
RNAcentral lists this transfer RNA (62 nucleotides) under Batracomorphus notatus. RNAcentral describes it as "tRNA-Ile". Lineage: Eukaryota; Metazoa; Arthropoda; Insecta; Hemiptera; Cicadellidae. The record is from RNAcentral.